GGUAAUGCCGGAUGCUCCGACUCCUCGCAUGGGGUGUCGGGAAAGAUUUCAUCGGUAUGGGAUGGGGUCGCGUCCUAUCAGGUAGUCGGCGGGGUAACGGCCCACCGAGCCUACGACGGGUAGCCGGCCUGAGAGGGCGACCGGCCACAUUGGGACUGAGAUACGGCCCAGACUCCUACGGGAGGCAGCAGUGGGGAAUAUUGCACAAUGGGCGCAAGCCUGAUGCAGCGACGCCGCGUGCGGGAUGACGGCCUUCGGGUUGUAAACCGCUUUUGAUCGGGAGCAAGCCUUCGGGUGAGUGUACCUUUCGAAUAAGCACCGGCUAACUACGUGCCAGCAGCCGCGGUAAUACGUAGGGUGCAAGCGUUAUCCGGAAUUAUUGGGCGUAAAGGGCUCGUAGGCGGUUCGUCGCGUCCGGUGUGAAAGUCCAUCGCUUAACGGUGGAUCUGCGCCGGGUACGGGCGGGCUGGAGUGCGGUAGGGGAGACUGGAAUUCCCGGUGUAACGGUGGAAUGUGUAGAUAUCGGGAAAGAACA
RNAcentral lists this ribosomal RNA (535 nucleotides) under Bifidobacterium pseudocatenulatum. Its description in RNAcentral is "bacterial SSU rRNA". It matches the Rfam family "Bacterial small subunit ribosomal RNA", at positions 162 to 708 of the family's 1533-position model. The record is from RNAcentral. Lineage: Bacteria; Bacillati; Actinomycetota; Actinomycetes; Bifidobacteriales; Bifidobacteriaceae.